GGAGGUGCGCACGGAGCGCGCAGCGCGGAGCUGCCGGGCGGCAGCCGCGGAGAGAGGAGCUGUCAGCGGCGCCUUCUCAUUUAUCAUUAGCCAGCCCUAAUCUUGCUCGCUGUCCUCCUUCGCCGUUCUGCUGAUGGCGGUUGGGGAAAUUAUUGUCAUUAUUAUUAAUAAUGCUAAUGAUAAUGAAGCCCAUCCCGUCUCACUGUGUUCAAGGUGAAUUUCAAGGGGAAGAGUGUGCGGGUUUUGUUUACGGGGAGGUCCAGGGGUAAGAAGUGCACGGUGUGGGUGUCCAUAGCCCUGUAGAGAGGGAGUGGGUAUCUGUCCAUUCAUAGAGAGGGGUGAAACGCGUGGUUUGGGUAUCUAUGUGCUUCUAUGGAGGGAUGGAACAUAUGGUUUGUGUAUCUGUACACUGAUGUAGAGGGAUGGAAGGCAGAUUGGGUAUCUAUACAUUUCUAUAGAGGGAUGGAACACAUGGUUUGGGUCUAUAUAUUGAUACAGAGGAGUGAAACGCAUGAAAUGGGCAUCUCUACAUUUAUAGAAAGGGACAAAGCACACGGAUUGGGUAUUUACGCAUUUAUAUAGAGAUGGAACGCAUGCUUUGUGCAUUCGUGUAUUUAUAUGAAGAGACGAAAAUCAUGGGUUGGGUCUCUGCGUUUAUACAGGGGGAUGAAACGCACCAUGUGGAUAUCUGCACUUACACAGAGGGAUGAAGCACACAACUGCGUAUCCACCUGUUCUAUGCACUCAGUGCCCCCCCGCCAUCGCCGCUCUCACCCAUCGCACCCCAUCCCCAUCUCAGGGCACCACACAGCAUAACCCAGGCUCAGCCCCUGAGGCAGAGACAGGAAAUCCUUUCUCCCUGCCCGGUGCUUUCCUACCAAGGGCAUGUGCCCUCCGUGGGAUAGCAACACAGACGGCUGCACCGCACUGCUGAGAUCAUUUGGGCGCCGCACGGCGCUGCGCCGCGCUCCUCAUAUUCCUUCCGACUGCAUCAGGAGAAACGCUUUGCUGAUUUUCUUCCUAUUUUUUUUUAUUCCUAAGGCCUAGGAGCUGCUGGGAAAAAUCUGCACGGCCGCUCCCCCCCCCCCUCCCCCGUGAUGUGCUGGGAAUGUCGGUGCCGUGAGCCGCGGCCCUUUCUCCUUUGCGCCGCACCGCUCUGUGUCCAUUACGUUAAUGGCAUUUCAUCCCAGUGCACUGAACUGCAGGAGUUCUCAAGGAAACACUCAAGAUCACAUGGCGAGGUCCCUUCCAAGCCAAGCCAUUCUAUGAUUCUAUGAUUCUAUGAGAAUUGCUGGGGCCGUUAGCGUUAGCAGCCCCAGACCCAUCACCCUGCCCUUCACAAUGAGAAAUAUGGCACAAUAUUACUCAAGGCUAAAAAAAAACCCACCAACAUAAUCCAUAUUUACCCGAAUUUCCCAUAUAUCUGCUUUAAACCCUUUGCAAUUCAAAUAAGAAUGGGGAUGUUGAAGGUCUGGCUGACAGCAGCCGGCAGCAGAGCAUCCCUUUAGAGCUGUGGGGCCAGGGCUGUGCUGGGCCGGGGCUGUGCUCCGACAGAUGGAUCUCCUUGGUUUUCUGUUGUCUUGGAGGUUUAUGGAGAGCAAAUAAAUUUGUGUAGCACUUGGAGGGGAAAAGUUGUGAUGUUGGUGCCUACUGAAAUCAUUUUCUGCUUUUUUAUUUUAUUUUAUGCAUCCCUCCUUAACAUCUUCCCUGCCAUGAUCCCAUUUCAGAACUCCGCAGGAGCGCAGACCCCGAGGAAGGGAAAUGCAAUCCCUGCUUUCCACUAAUGGGGAAACUGAGGAUCAGGGGUUCAGGGACCUUUUGGGGUUUUGUAUGCAGAGA
Gallus gallus (chicken) is the source of this 1839-nucleotide long non-coding RNA. RefSeq lists it as uncharacterized. The transcript has 2 exons. NCBI's taxonomy places the organism in Eukaryota, Metazoa, Chordata, Aves, Galliformes, Phasianidae. The record is from RefSeq and is a predicted model, not a curated record.